This 253-nucleotide ribosomal RNA is filed under the name uncultured bacterium. RNAcentral describes it as "partial 16S ribosomal RNA". It matches the Rfam family "Bacterial small subunit ribosomal RNA", at positions 524 to 776 of the family's 1533-position model. The record is from RNAcentral.
GACGGAGGAUGCAAGUGUUAUCCGGAAUCAUUGGGCGUAAAGCGUCUGUAGGUGGUUCGAAAAGUCCACUGUUAAAGAUUGAGGCUUAACUUCAAAAAUGCCGUGGAAACUUUCAGACUAGAGUAUGGUAGGGGUAGAGGGAAUUUCCAGUGGAGCGGUGAAAUGCGUAGAUAUUGGAAAGACCACCGAUGGCGAAGGCACUCUACUGGGCCAUUACUGACACUGAGAGACGAAAGCUAGGGGAGCAAAUGGG